UACGGAGGGAGCUAGCGUUGUUCGGAUAUACUGGGCGUAAAGCGCACGUAGGCGGCGCCGUAAGUCAGGGGUGAAAUCCCGGAGCUCAACUCCGGAACUGCCCUUGAAACUGCAGUGCUAGAAUUCUGGAGAGGCGAGUGGAAUUCCGAGUGUAGAGGUGAAAUUCGUAGAUAUUCGCAAGAACACCAGUGGCGAAGGCGGCUCACUGGCCCGGUACUGACGCUGAGGUGCGAAAGCGUGGGGAGCAAACAGG
Molecule: ribosomal RNA, 253 nt
Filed under: uncultured bacterium
Lineage: Bacteria
Description: partial 16S ribosomal RNA
Rfam family: Bacterial small subunit ribosomal RNA
Source: RNAcentral